This 246-nucleotide ribosomal RNA is filed under the name Staphylococcus haemolyticus. RNAcentral's name for it is "partial 23S ribosomal RNA". It matches the Rfam family "Bacterial large subunit ribosomal RNA", at positions 1397 to 1639 of the family's 2925-position model. The record is from RNAcentral. Lineage: Bacteria; Bacillati; Bacillota; Bacilli; Caryophanales; Staphylococcaceae.
UGAGGCCGACAGGCGUAGGCGAUGGAUAACAGGUUGAUAUUCCUGUACCACCUAGCAUCGUUUUAAUCGAUGGGGGGACGCAGUAGGAUAGGCGAAGCGUACGAUUGGAUUGUACGUCCAAGCAGUGAGAUUGAGUGUUAGGCAAAUCCGGCACUCUUAAGAUUGAGCUGUGAUGGGGAGAGGAAAUUGUUUCCUCGAGUCGUUGAUUUCACACUGCCGAGAAAAGCCUCUAGAUAGAUAAUAGGU